CUCGGAUCUGCUCGAUCCCUCUACCAGCCUCUGAAUCAGUCGGCUGGAGGGAAUCAGCUAUCUUGGCAGCUGCAGCCAAGUUGAGGAGGGGUGUGCGGAAUAGCUCCACGUUGCUCCGCCGAGUGUGCCGACUAGCAGAACGGCGAGGUGGACGACGUGCGCCGGACGCUUCGCCGAUCUCGUGCUCGUUCCGACCAGCCUGACGGGGAUCUUCAUGGGAGUUGGCCAUGUGUACUUCUGCUGCGGGCUCGUGACCCGCAUACUCGGAAGGAAACUCAGUCAGAAC
This 286-nucleotide long non-coding RNA is filed under the name Hordeum vulgare. Its description in RNAcentral is "long non-coding RNA (HVUL_LNC012140)". The record is from RNAcentral. Lineage: Eukaryota; Viridiplantae; Streptophyta; Magnoliopsida; Poales; Poaceae.